Molecule: ribosomal RNA, 284 nt
Filed under: Glomus sp. (unid)
Lineage: Eukaryota; Fungi; Glomeromycota; Glomeromycetes; Glomerales; Glomeraceae
Rfam family: Eukaryotic large subunit ribosomal RNA
Source: RNAcentral
UGUCGGGAGGGAAGCGAAUAGGGGCCGGCGAUGCGUCCCGGUCGGAUGUGGAACGGCGAUAGCCGGUCCGCCGAUCGACUCGGGGCGUGGACCGGUGCGGAUUGGUGCGGCGGCCAAAGCCCUGGCUGUCGAUAGGCCUGUGGAGAUGCCGUCGCGUCGAUCGUGGUUGGCAGCGCGCGCCGUCACGGCGAUAUACCCGCGUGCCUCCCGGCACCGGCCUGUGGGCACCCCAUUCGGCCCGUCUUGAAACGCGGACCAAGGAGUCUAACAUAUAUGCGAGUGUU